This 253-nucleotide ribosomal RNA is filed under the name uncultured bacterium. RNAcentral describes it as "partial 16S ribosomal RNA". It matches the Rfam family "Bacterial small subunit ribosomal RNA", at positions 524 to 776 of the family's 1533-position model. The record is from RNAcentral.
UACGUAGGGUGCGAGCGUUAAUCGGAAUUACUGGGCGUAAAGUGUGCGCAGGCGGCCGAGCAAGUCGAGUGUGAAAGCCCCGAGCUUAACUUGGGAACUGCGCUCGAAACUACUUGGCUAGAGUGUGGCAGAGGGAGGUGGAAUUCCACGUGUAGUGGUGAAAUGCGUAGAGAUCCGGAGGAACACCAGAGGCGAAGGCGGCCUACUGGGCCAGUACUGACGCUGAGCCGCGAAAGCCAGGGGAGCGAACGGG